RNAcentral lists this transfer RNA (69 nucleotides) under Paulhutchinsonia pilosicollis. RNAcentral's name for it is "tRNA-Gln". The record is from RNAcentral. Lineage: Eukaryota; Metazoa; Arthropoda; Insecta; Coleoptera; Cerambycidae.
UGUAUUUUAGUAUAUGAGGUAUAAAAGUUUUUGAUACUUGAGGAGGUAGUUUGAUUCUGCCAGGUACAA